RNAcentral lists this ribosomal RNA (1362 nucleotides) under Staphylococcus aureus. Its description in RNAcentral is "bacterial SSU rRNA". It matches the Rfam family "Bacterial small subunit ribosomal RNA", at positions 69 to 1416 of the family's 1533-position model. The record is from RNAcentral. Lineage: Bacteria; Bacillati; Bacillota; Bacilli; Caryophanales; Staphylococcaceae.
GACGAGAAGCUUGCUUCUCUGAUGUUAGCGGCGGACGGGUGAGUAACACGUGGAUAACCUACCUAUAAGACUGGGAUAACUUCGGGAAACCGGAGCUAAUACCGGAUAAUAUUUUGAACCGCAUGGUUCAAAAGUGAAAGACGGUCUUGCUGUCACUUAUAGAUGGAUCCGCGCUGCAUUAGCUAGUUGGUAAGGUAACGGCUUACCAAGGCAACGAUGCAUAGCCGACCUGAGAGGGUGAUCGGCCACACUGGAACUGAGACACGGUCCAGACUCCUACGGGAGGCAGCAGUAGGGAAUCUUCCGCAAUGGGCGAAAGCCUGACGGAGCAACGCCGCGUGAGUGAUGAAGGUCUUCGGAUCGUAAAACUCUGUUAUUAGGGAAGAACAUAUGUGUAAGUAACUGUGCACAUCUUGACGGUACCUAAUCAGAAAGCCACGGCUAACUACGUGCCAGCAGCCGCGGUAAUACGUAGGUGGCAAGCGUUAUCCGGAAUUAUUGGGCGUAAAGCGCGCGUAGGCGGUUUUUUAAGUCUGAUGUGAAAGCCCACGGCUCAACCGUGGAGGGUCAUUGGAAACUGGAAAACUUGAGUGCAGAAGAGGAAAGUGGAAUUCCAUGUGUAGCGGUGAAAUGCGCAGAGAUAUGGAGGAACACCAGUGGCGAAGGCGACUUUCUGGUCUGUAACUGACGCUGAUGUGCGAAAGCGUGGGGAUCAAACAGGAUUAGAUACCCUGGUAGUCCACGCCGUAAACGAUGAGUGCUAAGUGUUAGGGGGUUUCCGCCCCUUAGUGCUGCAGCUAACGCAUUAAGCACUCCGCCUGGGGAGUACGACCGCAAGGUUGAAACUCAAAGGAAUUGACGGGGACCCGCACAAGCGGUGGAGCAUGUGGUUUAAUUCGAAGCAACGCGAAGAACCUUACCAAAUCUUGACAUCCUUUGACAACUCUAGAGAUAGAGCUUUCCCCUUCGGGGGACAAAGUGACAGGUGGUGCAUGGUUGUCGUCAGCUCGUGUCGUGAGAUGUUGGGUUAAGUCCCGCAACGAGCGCAACCCUUAAGCUUAGUUGCCAUCAUUAAGUUGGGCACUCUAAGUUGACUGCCGGUGACAAACCGGAGGAAGGUGGGGAUGACGUCAAAUCAUCAUGCCCCUUAUGAUUUGGGCUACACACGUGCUACAAUGGACAAUACAAAGGGCAGCGAAACCGCGAGGUCAAGCAAAUCCCAUAAAGUUGUUCUCAGUUCGGAUUGUAGUCUGCAACUCGACUACAUGAAGCUGGAAUCGCUAGUAAUCGUAGAUCAGCAUGCUACGGUGAAUACGUUCCCGGGUCUUGUACACACCGCCCGUCACACCACGAGAGUUUGUA